CUCCCCUUUCCCCGCGCCAAGAAGUGGGGAGGCUGAUAAGCAGCCCUCUGGAGGCUCGCCCGUCCAGAUCCCGUCCCCGCGCCCCGCGAGGUGCUGGACGAGGGAUGUUUCCCGCAGCGGCGGCCGCGGCGCUGUGCUGCAAGCCUCGGCCAGGCGCAUCGCCGGCCGCGUUGGCUUGAAGGCGGGAUCUGGUGGCCUUUGGCGUUCAGCCCCUCGAAGAGGUGGCGGCGGCGGCACAGCCAGGAUAAGGCUGCAGAGCGUCCCAGCUGGCUUCGGUCGCUGCGGCCAAACGGGGCUGGAGAUCCGCUUUCACGAAGCGGCCGGGAUGCCUGCCAGCCUGCCAACAGCCUGGCCCAAGGUGGAGAAAAGCACAAUGAACAUGUAAGACAAUGGAAGAUUUCUUUGACGCUCCUUUGCCAGCUUGCUGACCAAGUGGAGAUUGAUGAGGAAUCUCUUUCUAAAAUAUUCUGAAAAUGUACAGUAUUGCUAUUCAUUUAUUCCACUGAAAUGAUUUCAGAAUUACCUUUUGGAAUGACUGUAUUUGAUGCUCACUGUCCAUCCAAACAAUAGUAAUAAAAAGGACCACAUUCCCAAGCCCUGCAUAUUGAAGAAAGAACACACAGGAUGCCCUCCAUCACAAGAGCUUCAGGUAGCACAACCCUAACCAAAGCUAACUGGUCAUCCCAGCAGCAUUGUCAACUGGUUGACAAAUAUUAAGUGAUCGGAGUGCAUUGAAGUGCAUGUAUGUCAGCAGUCCCCAACCUGGGGUCCUGCAGGUGCUUUGGGCUACAACUCCCAUGAGAAAUGCUGAUGGGGGUGAAGGAAGUCGUAGUCCAAAACCUCUGGAGGUCAAUGGGUUGAAGGAGGCUGCUUUAUGUAACGCAACAUCUUCAACAGGUCCAGCUUUUCCCACUGCAUUAGCGGUGAAAACUUCCCUGUACGCAGAAUUCUCUUUUCUUUUGCAGCUUUGUACCUGUUUCAGAGGGGGGAAUAUUUAAUGUCUGAGCCUUUCGAUUACUCAAAGAGGACUCACAAGCGAUGAGCUGAUAGAUUAAACAUGCUAAGUAAUC
This is a long non-coding RNA of Varanus komodoensis (Komodo dragon), 1070 nucleotides long. RefSeq lists it as uncharacterized. NCBI's taxonomy places the organism in Eukaryota, Metazoa, Chordata, Lepidosauria, Squamata, Varanidae. The record is from RefSeq and is a predicted model, not a curated record. The transcript is spliced from 2 exons.